RNAcentral lists this ribosomal RNA (514 nucleotides) under uncultured bacterium. Its description in RNAcentral is "bacterial SSU rRNA". It matches the Rfam family "Bacterial small subunit ribosomal RNA", at positions 28 to 501 of the family's 1533-position model. The record is from RNAcentral.
GACGAACGCUGGCGGCGUGCCUAAUACAUGCAAGUCGAACGCACUCUCGUUUAGAUUGAAGGAGCUUGCUCCUGAUUGAUAAACAUUUGAGUGAGCGGCGGACGGGUGAGUAACACGUGGGUAACCUGCCCUAAAGUGGGGGAUAACAUUUGGAAACAGAUGCUAAUACCGCAUAAAACCUAACACCGCAUGGUGUAGGGUUGAAAGAUGGUUUCGGCUAUCACUUUAGGAUGGACCCGCGGUGCAUUAGUUAGUUGGUGAGGUAAAGGCUCACCAAGACCGUGAUGCAUAGCCGACCUGAGAGGGUAAUCGGCCACACUGGGACUGAGACACGGCCCAGACUCCUACGGGAGGCAGCAGUAGGGAAUCUUCCACAAUGGACGAAAGUCUGAUGGAGCAACGCCGCGUGAGUGAAGAAGGUUUUCGGAUCGUAAAACUCUGUUGUUGGAGAAGAAUGUAUUUGAUAGUAACUGAUCAGGUAGUGACGGUAUCCAACCAGAAAGCCACGGCUAAC